This 364-nucleotide unclassified non-coding RNA is filed under the name rhizosphere metagenome. Its description in RNAcentral is "partial ribosomal RNA internal transcribed spacer region". The record is from RNAcentral.
GUAGGUGAACCUGCGGAAGGAUCAUUAACACGUAUCCAACGUUAAACAACCCUGUGAACCUUGAACGUGCUCUCGUACAGAAAACUGGUGUCAUUAGGUGCCGAAGCACAGAGGCCCGGUCGCCGGCCGUGUGGGCCUACAGCGAUCGUUUACUGCGCCAUCCUUGCGCAACCACUGACAGAUGGCUAGGAUGCCAGGCCGCUUACUCUGGCGCUCGUAUCGUAUGGUUUUCUAGCAGAAGUCCCAGAAUCAAUAGCUGGUCAACAAUGAUUUACCAGGGAUUGCUGCUAGAGCGUGACCCGGUGCGCUGUAACAACCGCACCACAAACUCGAACAACUGUUAACAAUGGAUAACUUGGUUCUU